Molecule: ribosomal RNA, 687 nt
Filed under: Actinomycetes bacterium
Lineage: Bacteria; Bacillati; Actinomycetota; Actinomycetes
Description: bacterial SSU rRNA
Rfam family: Bacterial small subunit ribosomal RNA
Source: RNAcentral
GACGAACGCUGGCGGCGUGCUUAACACAUGCAAGUCGAACGGAAUCCAUGGUGUAGCAAUACACCGGAAGAUUUAGUGGCGAACGGGUGAGGAUCACGUGAGAAACCUGCCCCAGACUUUGGGAUAACAAUUGGAAACGAUUGCUAAUACCGAAUGACGUCGGAGAACCGCAUGGUUCACUGACGAAAGGAAAUCCGGUUUGGGAGGGUCUCGCGGCCUAUCAGCUUGUUGGUGGGGUAAUGGCCUACCAAGGCAACGACGGGUAGCUGGUCUGAGAGGAUGAUCAGCCACACUGGGACUGAGACACGGCCCAGACUCCUACGGGAGGCAGCAGUGGGGAAUCUUGCGCAAUGGGCGAAAGCCUGACGCAGCAACGCCGCGUGCGGGAUGAAGGCCUUCGGGCUGUAAACCGCUUUCAGCAGGAACGAAAAUGACGGUACCUGCAGAAGAAGGAGCGGCCAACUACGUGCCAGCAGCCGCGGUGACACGUAGGCUCCAAGCGUUGUCCGGAUUUAUUGGGCGUAAAGAGCUCGUAGGCGGUUUAGUAAGUCGGGUGUUAAAACUCUGGGCUCAACCCGGAGAGGCCAUCCGAUACUGCUGUGACUUGAGUUCAGGAGGGGAGCGGGGAAUUCCUAGUGUAGCGGUGAAAUGCGCAGAUAUUAGGAGGAACACCGGUGGCGAAGGCGC